GUCACUAUUUAUAGGGGGCAAUCAAUAAUACCAUGCAAUGAAAUUACCACUCGGGCUUAAAAUCACACCUUUCCUCUCUAACACAUCAGUAUCCUGGGUCUCCUUUCAUUUGGGAGUCGCCUGGUAUCACUAGGGAGACCAGAAUGAGUCACUGAGUACAGAGAGGUCACAGGGCUUGCCAGACAAUAAGCUGUUGAAGGGCAGCAGCUAAAAUUCAGGUGGCCAGGUGAUGGUGAAAAAACAACCAUGAGUCAUUUAAAAUCAAAUGCCAAUUUGAUGGGCUCAAAAUAUUUCGUGGGAAUGGGUCGAUUCCAUUGAAACAUUGGAUGGACAUCGGGCAGGCAGGCUGCUUAGUUUCCUGUGAGCUCUCCCCAACUCUUCCACGCUUUCCAGCUCUGAUACAGCCUGCCUGAACUGUGAAAUUUUUCAUGUAAGGGAAAUUCCAGUUCCCACACAGCUCUACACUUCACCCACCAUUACAUCAUAGCCACUCCUGGGAUGGAACACAUCAACGAUUUAACAGUGCACUACAACGCUACACAAAACAUCU
Molecule: long non-coding RNA, 550 nt
Organism: Mauremys reevesii (Reeves's turtle)
Lineage: Eukaryota; Metazoa; Chordata; Testudines; Geoemydidae
Exons: 3
Source: RefSeq, a predicted model, not a curated record